Molecule: ribosomal RNA, 252 nt
Filed under: uncultured prokaryote
Description: partial 16S rRNA
Rfam family: Archaeal small subunit ribosomal RNA
Source: RNAcentral
ACCGGCAGCUCAAGUGGUGGCCAUUAUUAUUGGGCCUAAAGCGUUCGUAGCCGGUUUGAUAAGUCUCUGGUGAAAUCCCGCAGCUUAACUGUGGGACUUGCUGGAGAUACUAUCAGACUUGAGGUCGGGAGAGGUUAGGGGUACUCCCAGGGUAGGGGUGAAAUCCUAUAAUCCUGGUAUUUCCCCCUUUGUCUAGUGCGCCUAACUUUCCCCUUCCUCCCUUUCUCUUCCUCUUUCCCUUUUCUCUUUCCG